This 240-nucleotide unclassified non-coding RNA is filed under the name soil metagenome. Its description in RNAcentral is "partial contains 5.8S ribosomal RNA, internal transcribed spacer 2, and large subunit ribosomal RNA". The record is from RNAcentral.
AACCUAGCACACCUGCGGUGUGUACCUGCGGAGGGAUCAUUAACCUUUCAAAAAACAGGGUGCGUCGCGGCCCCCCUCCGGGGGCGGUUUGGGGUCCUCCCCUUCACGCGCGCACGACUGCAUCCUUACUUUACGAGCACCUUCUGUUCUCCCUCGGCGGGGCAACCUGCCGUUGGAACCGAAUAAACCCUUUUUUGCAUCCAGCAUUACCCGUUCCGAAACAAACAAUCGUUACAACUU